Molecule: long non-coding RNA, 1043 nt
Organism: Toxorhynchites rutilus septentrionalis
Lineage: Eukaryota; Metazoa; Arthropoda; Insecta; Diptera; Culicidae
Exons: 3
Source: RefSeq, a predicted model, not a curated record
CAAAACAGAGAAAGAAUUGAUAAGCAUAUUUCGCAGUUUUCUUGAUGGCGGAGUGCAUCGCCCACAUAAUGCAGUGAGCAUUUGUCGUGCAGAAAGCAAUGAACAACAGCAGCACCACACACAUCUUUUCCGAUAAGAAUGAGCCACGGCUAACCUGGCCAUGAAGGGUUUCCACAAGUCGAACAUUUCGGUUUUGGAGAAAAAAGAUCUAUGAAGACGCAGCAGCGGUAGACGAAAAUAUUUGCUGAGAGGCAUCAAAAAAUCAAUAUAACCGAUUUUUAGAUGCUCGAGAAUACUAUUCGCAGACUGAGUACAGUCGUAAAAUUAUGCGUUAACAUGGUGAUAUAACGAGAAAAUACCGGAACAAUAACAGUGCCGUAUUACGUGAGUGUUUCGAUGAUGUUGUGAAGUGUCUUGAGGAGCAAAAUCGACGCCACUCCAAUGUAUCCAACGGUAUGCAGAUAACGUGUGAGGUUAAAACAAAGUAAAUUCUAGCAUCUUUUAAUGGCAUUAGUGAACAUAAGCCUUUGACUGGUGACUGGUUGCCGGAUUUUGGUUUUUUAUUUUAUCCGAGGUUCCUUCAAAACAUAGUUCUUGGAUAUGGAAAUUCAUUGGGAACUCCAUUCAGAACCGCGAAGGAUUAUUACGUUGUCGUAUUGUGUUAGUAGGUAAUAUAUUCAAUGGAUCAAUAUUUUGUUCCUUUGAAAAAAAUUGAAAUACUUUUUUCAAUGGCAAUUCGUCAGCACAUUCACUUAAAUACAGGAGAGUCUUUUUUGGUAUGCUAAGCAGGUUGUAUCAUUGGGAAAAUUUUAAAAAGCAUUCCGAAACCGAAAUAAGCGAACAGGGCAGUUUAGGUGAUUUUUAGUAACGAUUUAUAAUUAGGAUAGCAAAAUGAUAUUUUUUAUAAUGACCAGCAUCCAAUUAGAGAGGAUAUCACGGAUCGAUAUGCUGAGACUAAUGGAAUGUGGUAACGUAUUUUAUGAUGUUAAAUUUCAAAGAUAUUAUACAACUAAAUGAUAUGUAUAAUGUAGUUUUAUACAAUG